RNAcentral lists this ribosomal RNA (501 nucleotides) under uncultured bacterium. RNAcentral describes it as "bacterial SSU rRNA". It matches the Rfam family "Bacterial small subunit ribosomal RNA", at positions 32 to 508 of the family's 1533-position model. The record is from RNAcentral.
AAUCAACGCUGGCGGCGUGCCUCAGACAUGCAAGUCGAACGCGAAAGCCUCCUUCGGGGGGCAAGUAGAGUGGCGCACGGGUGAGUAACACGUAGGUAAUCUACCUUUGGAUUGGGAAUAACCACCGGAAACGGUGGCUAAUACCGAAUAAUGCAGCGGCACCUAAUGGUGACAGUUGUUAAAGCGGGGGAUCGCAAGACCUCGCGUCUGAAGAGGAGCCUGCGGCAGAUUAGCUAGUUGGUAAGGUAACGGCUUACCAAGGCGAUGAUCUGUAGCCGGCCUGAGAGGGCGGUCGGCCACACUGACACUGACAUACGGGUCAGACUCCUACGGGAGGCAGCAGUCGGGAAUUUUGGGCAAUGGGCGAAAGCCUGACCCAGCAACGCCGCGUGAAGGAUGAAAUCCCUCGGGAUGUAAACUUCGCAAGAACGGGAAGAAUAAGUAAGGGUUAAUAUCUCUUACGAUGACGGUACUGUUUGUAAGCUCCGGCUAACUCCGUGC